AGGUGCUAAAUACCGGAUAAGAAAGCAGAUCGCAUGAUCAGCUUUAAAAGGCGGCGUAAAGCUGUCGCUAUGGGGAUGGGCCCCGCGGUGCAUUAGCUAGUUGGUAAGGUAAAGGCUCACCAAGGGCGAUGAUGCAUAGCCCGAGUUGAGAGACUGAUCGGCCACAUUGGGGACUGAGACACGGCCCAAACUCCUACGGGAGGCAGCAGUAGGGAAUCUUCCACAAUGGACGCAAGUCUGAUGGAGCAAACGCCGCGUGAGUGAAGAAGGUUUUCGGAUCGUAAAGCUCUGUUGUUGGUGAAGAAGGAUAGAGGUAGUAACUGGCCCUUUAUUUGACGGUAAUCAACCAGAAGGUCACGGGCUAACUACGUGCCAGCAGCCGCGGUAAAU
Molecule: ribosomal RNA, 390 nt
Filed under: uncultured Lactobacillus sp.
Lineage: Bacteria; Bacillati; Bacillota; Bacilli; Lactobacillales; Lactobacillaceae
Description: bacterial SSU rRNA
Rfam family: Bacterial small subunit ribosomal RNA
Source: RNAcentral